Molecule: ribosomal RNA, 468 nt
Filed under: uncultured bacterium
Lineage: Bacteria
Description: partial 16S ribosomal RNA
Rfam family: Bacterial small subunit ribosomal RNA
Source: RNAcentral
GACGAACGCUGGCGGCGUGCUUAACACAUGCCAGUCGAACGGAGAAGCCCCUCGGUGGGGGUGUGCUCGGAUGGCGAAAGUAAGAGUAACACGAGCUUAACCCGGCCUUGGCUUUGCUAUAACUACAUGAGACUAGUGCUGAUAGCUGAUAGCUUCUCCUACGGGUGGGUGUGGGUUGGGAUUUUGGGUCGGGUGGGGCUCGACCCCCGGCUUAUCAGCUUGUUGGUGGGGGAGUGGCUUACCAAGGCCUUGACGGGUAGCCGGCCUGAGAGGGUGACCGGCCACAUUGGGACUGAGAUACGGCCCAGACUCCUACGGGAGGCAGCAGUGGGGAAUAUUGCACAAUGGGCGGAAGCCUGAUGCAGCAACGCCGCGUGCGGGAUGACGGCCUUCGGGUUGUAAACCGCUUUCGCCUGUGACGAAGCGUGAGUGACGGUAAUGGGUAAAGAAGCACCGGCUAACUACGUG